GGCUGUGGCUCAGUGGUAGUGCCCUUGCCUGCAAUGCGUGAAGCACUGGGUUCAAUUCUCAGCACCCCA
This 69-nucleotide transfer RNA is filed under the name Marmota monax (woodchuck). RNAcentral's name for it is "tRNA.Cys". The record is from RNAcentral. Lineage: Eukaryota; Metazoa; Chordata; Mammalia; Rodentia; Sciuridae.